CAAACAUUUUUUAUAUGAACGAGUUUUCCGAUCGCCAGCCCGGCGGCGCUGACGCCGCCACCACCUCCGCCAGCCCCACCACCACAUCUGAGAAUUCCGUCAGAUGUGAAAAGAAAUCGCUAAAGUCCAUUAUUCCAAGGAUUUUUAGUUCGAAGAGAUCGAAUAGCAGAGAUAGUUUUUCAGAAGUAGAAGGCCUUCAAUCAGACGGAAAUAGUAAUGAAAAUGAAGCAGAUUAUAAUGUUACGUCAAGAACUAAAGCUUUUCUGGAGGAGUCAAACUUCAUCCAAAGAGGUAUCUCAG
Salvia hispanica is the source of this 300-nucleotide non-coding RNA. Lineage: Eukaryota; Viridiplantae; Streptophyta; Magnoliopsida; Lamiales; Lamiaceae. The record is from RefSeq and is a predicted model, not a curated record.